This is an RNA transcript of Salvia splendens (bonfire salvia), 1086 nucleotides long. It is a transcript of the gene named 50S ribosomal protein L9, chloroplastic, with no coding region annotated. The record is from RefSeq and is a predicted model, not a curated record. The transcript is spliced from 7 exons. Lineage: Eukaryota; Viridiplantae; Streptophyta; Magnoliopsida; Lamiales; Lamiaceae.
AAGGAUAACGGGAUAAGAUUACUUGAAUUCAACUGCAGCAACUCCACUGAUCGAAAUUCGAAACUGCCGAUUCUAGAAUAGUUUUGUGGCAAUGGCUUCCACGAGUCUUUCAUGGACUGCAUCUUCAUGGCUUCAGAAUCACGCCUUCUCCAAAAAUACCGCCGCCAAAACUGCCGACGGAGCUCCACUACUCCGAGUUUUAGCUCAAAAGAAGGCCAGAAAACUGCGCAAGGUUAUAUUGAAGGAGGACGUGACAGCAGUGGGGAAAAAGGGGCAGCUGAUGGAUGUGAAAGCUGGAUAUCUUAGGAAUUAUCUGCUGCCGCUGGGCAUGGCGCAGAUUGUCACCCCUCAACUUAUCAAGGAAAUGAAGAUGGAAGAUGAGAGGAUUGAGGCCGAGAAGAAAAGAGUUAAAGAAGAGGCACAGCAGCUUGCCACAAUUUUUGAGACAGUUGGUGCUUUCAAGGUGAAGCGCAAGGGUGGGAAAGGAAAACAAAUUUUUGGAUCUGUCACUGCUCAGGACCUCGUUGACAUUAUCAAGGCCCAACUUCAGAGGGAUGUCGACAAAAGAAUUGUCUCACUUCCAGAAAUCAGAGAAACUGGGGAAUACAUUGCAGAGCUAAAACUCCAUCCUGAUGUCACAGCUCGUGUAAGGGUGACUGUGUAUGCUAACUGAGGACAUUCCAGAGAUACACAUAAAAGCCCAAGUUUCUGAUUUUGGUGAUUUUCUCAAGGAUUCUUCGUGGUUCAGACGGUUAUAUGUUUUACGUCUGAGGAGAAUUCCAUCUCUGUAAGUCUUUGAUCCAAUGUACUUAAUUUUGAGGCUACAAUUGCUUUGGCUUUUUGUAUUAUAUCUAUUUCCUGUUAUAGUUUAUUGGGAUUCAUUAGCAAAUGGGGAUAUGGAAAUGUAGUUGCAUUCUUCUAUCACAACAUCUUCUCACAGAGUUUUAAAAUUUAUGGAAAUCAAUCAUUUGGUGAUCUCAAUAGUUUUCUGAAUAAUAUAUUUAUGUAUAAAGAGAUACAAGCUGGACAUAUACUCAGUAUCUGAAACAGCUAUGUUCAUGUUUUAUGAAAAAAAACUUAUCAGAA